This 21-nucleotide unclassified non-coding RNA is filed under the name Dictyostelium discoideum. The record is from RNAcentral. Lineage: Eukaryota; Evosea; Eumycetozoa; Dictyosteliales; Dictyosteliaceae.
CUGGGCCGCACGCGCGCUACA